UGAACCACUCAGGCGCCCCAUGAGACUCCGUGUUUUAUGUCUGUUGAUGUAGGUAUUACAAGAAUGUAUUAAUUUGUAUAUUGGACGCAGAAAAGCGGUGGUGUCUGUCCAGCUGCAGAGAGACGUGGCAACUGUUGGAGAGUCCGGAGACAGAACAGAGAUCCCAGGAACCCUGAAGGGGAUUCUGGGAGCCACAGCUACUGAGAGCUGCAGGUGCUGUAACUGAAGCUACCGCUACUGGUCAGGCUGCCACCAGAAGAGCUGUCUCAGAAAGAAGGCGAAAACCACCGAGGGCCAGGGGAGAAACUGCUGAGAUGCUUUCCCUGGGACAGCCUUGCCAAGAGCCACCAUGGGUCCCACAUCGGGAGCCACACACCCAGUGACAGAAAGGGGACACCUGACGACAGGCGCGCAAACAGGAGACACCGUGUGAAGAUAGAGGCAGAGAUCGGGGUGAUGGUUCGACAAGACAAAGAAUGCCAGACACUGCAGCAAACCACCAGAAGUUAGAGGAGAGGCCGGGAACAGAUUCUCCCUCAAAUCCCUCAGAAGGAGCCAACCCUGCCAACCCCUCCAUCUUGGACUUUGACCCCCAGGACUCAGAGACAAUAAAUUUCUGUUGUUCAAACCA
Non-coding RNA from Leptonychotes weddellii (Weddell seal), 631 nucleotides. The record is from RefSeq and is a predicted model, not a curated record. NCBI's taxonomy places the organism in Eukaryota, Metazoa, Chordata, Mammalia, Carnivora, Phocidae.